This 94-nucleotide ribosomal RNA is filed under the name Clostridium botulinum. Its description in RNAcentral is "partial 16S ribosomal RNA". It matches the Rfam family "Bacterial small subunit ribosomal RNA", at positions 1 to 91 of the family's 1533-position model. The record is from RNAcentral. Lineage: Bacteria; Bacillati; Bacillota; Clostridia; Eubacteriales; Clostridiaceae.
UUUAAAUUUAGAGUUUGAUCCUGGCUCAGGACGAACGCUGGCGGCGUGCUUAACACAUGCAAGUCGAGCGAUGAAACUUCCUUCGGGGAGUGGA